UAUUAGAGGUCCCGCCUGCCCUGUGAACUGAAAAAUUUAACGGCCGCGGUAUUCUGACCGUGCAAAGGUAGCGUAAUCAUUUGUCUUUUAAAUAAGGACCUGUAUGAAUGGCAUCACGAGGGCUCAACUGUCUCCUUCCCCUAAUCAGUGAAAUUGAUCUGUCCGUGCAGAAGCGGGCAUGAAAACAUAAGACGAGAAGACCCUAUGGAGCUUAAGGUAUAAGAUCACACACGAUUAGUAGUCUAGACCCGAUAGGAAUAAAGAACUAAGUUUCAAUGUGUCGGUUGAUCGGAUUGUCUUCGGUUGGGGCGACCGCGGAGGAAAGAAAAGCCUCCAUGUGGAGUGGGGAAAUACUCCCUAGAGCUAAGAGUCACAGCUCUAAGAAGCAGAAUAUCUGACCAAAAAUGAUCCAGGCUUAGGGCCUGAUCAACGAACCAAGUUACCCUAGGGAUAACAGCGCAAUCCUUUCUCAGAGUUCAUAUCGACGAAAGGGUUUACGACCUCGAUGUUGGAUCGGGACAUCCUAAUGGUGCAGCCGCUAUUAAGGGUUCGUUUGU
Molecule: ribosomal RNA, 557 nt
Filed under: Albula sp. EW-2008
Lineage: Eukaryota; Metazoa; Chordata; Actinopteri; Albuliformes; Albulidae
Description: partial 16S ribosomal RNA
Rfam family: Bacterial large subunit ribosomal RNA
Source: RNAcentral